This 837-nucleotide small RNA is filed under the name uncultured Rubrobacteraceae bacterium. Its description in RNAcentral is "bacterial SSU rRNA". The stretch from base 1 to 473 matches the Rfam family "Bacterial small subunit ribosomal RNA", at positions 1064 to 1533 of the family's 1533-position model. Lineage: Bacteria; Bacillati; Actinomycetota; Rubrobacteria; Rubrobacterales; Rubrobacteraceae. The record is from RNAcentral.
GUCGUGAGAUGUUGGGUUAAGUCCCGCAACGAGCGCAACCCCUGUCCCAUGUUGCCAGCGAUUCGGUCGGGGACUCAUGGGAGACUGCCGGUGACAAAUCGGAGGAAGGUGGGGAUGAUGUCAAGUCAUCAUGCCCCUUAUGUCCAGGGCUACACACGUGCUACAUUGGCCGGUACAAAGGGCUGCAAACCCGCGAGGGGGAGCGAAUCCCAAAAAGCCGGUCCCGGUUCGGAUUGGAGGCUGAAACUCGCCUCCAUGAAGUCGGAGUUGCUAGUAAUCGCGGAUCAGCAACGCCGCGGUGAAUACGUUCCCGGGCCUUGUACACACCGCCCGUCACACCACGAAAGUCGGCAACACCCGAAGCCGGUGGCCUAACCCCUUGUGGGAGGGAACCGUCGAAGGUGGGGUUGAUGAUUGGGGUGAAGUCGUAACAAGGUAGCCGUAGCGGAAGCUGCGGCUGGAUCACCUCCUUUCUAGGGAAUUCCGGAGCAAUUACUCCGGUAGGUUGGCCGGCUCGUUGAUGAUCGUUUCUUGAUCGUCCGAUGCCCGGUCUCUCCUGGAAUUACGUCGACCUCGAUGCUCUGUUAGUCCGCUCACCACGAGGGUACUGAUGGAGCUCACGCUGUUGAGUUUUGAAAGACGGGCGCUCUGUUGGCUUCAAUGCCAAUACGCCUGGUCGCGUGCACCUUGAAAACUCCAUAGUGGUGAAAACGUGUUCUUUUCGAUCAAGAGAACAAGAGCACACGGUGGAUGCCUUGGCGCUGAGAGCCGAUGAAGGACGUGGGCGGCUGCGAUAAGCCCGGGUGAGGUGCUGACCAACCUUUGACCCCGGGAUCU